RNAcentral lists this ribosomal RNA (234 nucleotides) under uncultured Glomus. RNAcentral's name for it is "partial small subunit ribosomal RNA". It matches the Rfam family "Eukaryotic small subunit ribosomal RNA", at positions 548 to 785 of the family's 1831-position model. Lineage: Eukaryota; Fungi; Glomeromycota; Glomeromycetes; Glomerales; Glomeraceae. The record is from RNAcentral.
UUGGAGGGCAAGUCUGGUGCCGGCAGCCGCGGUAAUUCCAGCUCCAAUAGCGUAUAUUAAAGUUGUUGCAGUUAAAAAGCUCGUAGUUGAAUUUCGGGAUCAAAUUGUUGGUCGUGCUUCGGUACGCACUGGCAUUAUUGGUUCCUACCUUCUGAAGAACCGCGAUGUCAUUAAUUUGGUGUCGUGGGGAAUCAGGACUGUUACUUUGAAAAAAUUAGAGUGUUUAAAGCAGGC